Vidua macroura (Pin-tailed whydah) is the source of this 756-nucleotide long non-coding RNA. RefSeq lists it as uncharacterized. NCBI's taxonomy places the organism in Eukaryota, Metazoa, Chordata, Aves, Passeriformes, Viduidae. The transcript has 3 exons. The record is from RefSeq and is a predicted model, not a curated record.
GAGUGCUUUUGAGAUAAGGUACCAGAAUAUCACUUGGAAUAUAAAUUCUGCAUCACUAGCACAUGGGCUCCUGCCAGUUCUGCUGAGCCUGUCACUUGUUAUGUUUUCUCAUAUCCUUGAGAGCCUGCAACAGAGUGCUGUUGGAAGCUUACAUUACAAAUUUCUGCAGAAUAUCAGAUGUAUUCUAGUUCUUCUCAUGUUCUCAGUCUGCUCUCCUCAGGCUUGAAAUCCAUCCAGUUGUGGAAGAAGACAGCCACUGCUACAACAUGGGGGAGUUUACUCAUGGGAUGCAAGCAGCAAGGAAAGAGGAAGAAGCCAGUUAAGGAUACAAAAGGAUGCCUGGGGAGCAUGCCAAAUAUAUCCUUGCAGGUACCCAGAGCUCCCCUGGACAAGAUCCUGAGUGCCUGUUUGAUUUAAAUGUUGGUCGUGUUGGAGCAAGGGUUGAAUUACUGAUCUUCAGAUGUCCCAUCUAACAUGAAUGAGGACACACAGAAGAAAAACCAAACAAAAUCCAUUGGUUAUCCAGAUGGAAAACAGCAAUGGCUGGCCAUGACCAGCAUCACCAGCAUUUCCAGAAGGUAACAAAGUUUGGAAAUAAAACAUUUGUGAAAGGUGUGAGAUUGAAGGAUAUCCUUGAAUCCUGCCUUUCAGUUCAAGCCACAAAUUACAGGAAGGGAAACUAUCUGGCACCCCUUUGCCCCCCAUUUGAGAUACCUCCCAAGGUUGCUUUUCAAGGACAAAGGAUAUUCAGUACAG